Molecule: ribosomal RNA, 497 nt
Filed under: uncultured bacterium
Lineage: Bacteria
Description: partial 16S ribosomal RNA
Rfam family: Bacterial small subunit ribosomal RNA
Source: RNAcentral
GAUGAACGCUGGCGGCGUGCCUAAUACAUGCAAGUCGAGCGAACAGACGAGGAGCUUGCUCCUCUGACGUUAGCGGCGGACGGGUGAGUAACACGUGGAUAACCUACCUAUAAGACUGGGAUAACUUCGGGAAACCGGAGCUAAUACCGGAUAAUAUAUUGAACCGCAUGGUUCAAUAGUGAAAGACGGUUUUGCUGUCACUUAUAGAUGGAUCCGCGCCGCAUUAGCUAGUUGGUGAGGUAACGGCUUACCAAGGCAACGAUGCGUAGCCGACGUGAGAGAGUGGUAGGCCACACUGGAACUGAGACGCGGACCAGGGGCCUACGGGAGGCAGCAGAAGGGAAUCGUCGGCAAUGGGCGAAAGCUUGACGGAGCAACGCGGCGUGAGUGAUGAAGAUGUCCGGAUCGUAAAACUCUGUUAUUAGGGAAGAACAAAUGUGUAAGUAACUAUGCACGUCUUGACGGUACCUAAUCAGAAAGCCACGGCUAACUACGUG